Astyanax mexicanus (Mexican tetra) is the source of this 556-nucleotide long non-coding RNA. RefSeq lists it as uncharacterized. NCBI's taxonomy places the organism in Eukaryota, Metazoa, Chordata, Actinopteri, Characiformes, Acestrorhamphidae. The transcript has 2 exons. The record is from RefSeq and is a predicted model, not a curated record.
AGCAGUGGAUUUCUCCUUGCAACCCUGCCAUGCAAACCGUUGUUGUUCAGUGUUCUCCUGAUGGUGGAAUCACAAACAAGUUGUUUGGAAGUUACCCUGGGUUCCUUUAAGACUUCGCCUACUAUUACACACCUUGCUCUUGGAGUCAUUUUUGUAGGACGAUCAUUCCUGGGGAGGGUGCUUCCUGAGAGCUGACUCUUAGUAUGUAGAGGAACUACCCACUAAACUCACCUCAGACUCUGAGGUCAUGGCUGUAUAACCCAGGCUUUUCAUCAGGCUAAUUAAAGUCCUCAACCCUAAGGAAGACUGCACACUGAGAGAGAGGCAGAGAGGAAUUUAAGAGGCCACUUACAGAGACUCUCCUGUUCAAAACACAAAGUCCUUUUCAAAGACGAGGAGCUUCUGCCAUUUUUAUCCAUGCUUCCCUCAUUCAAUGGGCCGUUCUAUCUUAAUGGAUCGUCAAAUACGGGAGAAAAUGAUGACAAAACGAGUUUUAAUGGGUUUUUUACUGUUCCACUCAUUUCAAAACUUUUAUAUGAAUGAAAUGACUAACUUC